RNAcentral lists this ribosomal RNA (497 nucleotides) under uncultured bacterium. RNAcentral describes it as "partial 16S ribosomal RNA". It matches the Rfam family "Bacterial small subunit ribosomal RNA", at positions 28 to 507 of the family's 1533-position model. The record is from RNAcentral.
GAUGAACGCUGGCGGCGUGCCUAAUACAUGCAAGUCGAGCGAACGGACGCGACGCUUGCUUUUCUGAUGUUAGCGGCGGACGGGUGAGUAACACGUGGAUAACCUACCUAUAAUACUGGGAUAACUUCGGGAAACCGGAUCUAAUACCGGAUAAUAUUUUGAACCGCAUGGUUCAAAAGUGAAAGACGGUCUUGCUGUCACUUCUCGAUGGAUCCGCGCUGCAUUAUCUAGUUGGUAAGGUAACGGCUUACCACGGCAACUAUGCAUAGCCGACCUGAGAGAGUGAUCGGCCACACUGGAACUGGGACACGGUCCAGACGCCUAAGGGAGGCAGCAGUAGGGAAUCGUCCGCAAUGGGCGAAAGCAUGACGGAGCAACGCCGAGUGAGAGAUGAAGGUCUUCGGAUCGGAAAACUCUGUUAUUAGGGAAGAACAUAUGUGUAAGGAAAUGUGCACAUCUUGACGGUAACUAAUCAGAAAGCCACGGCUAACUACGUG